UAUAUAAUAAGUUAAAAAAACUAAAAGCCUUCAAAGCUUUAUUUAUUCUAU
Molecule: transfer RNA, 51 nt
Filed under: Epiperipatus biolleyi
Lineage: Eukaryota; Metazoa; Onychophora; Udeonychophora; Euonychophora; Peripatidae
Description: tRNA-Trp
Source: RNAcentral